CGGAAGUAGCUCAGCGGUGGAGCGUCUCCUUGCCAAGGAGAAGGUCGCGGGUUCAAAUCCCGUCUUCCG
RNAcentral lists this transfer RNA (69 nucleotides) under marine eukaryotic metagenome. It matches the Rfam family "tRNA". Rfam says of the family: Transfer RNA (tRNA) molecules are approximately 80 nucleotides in length. The record is from RNAcentral.